This is an unclassified non-coding RNA of 232 nucleotides. The stretch from base 1 to 46 matches the Rfam family "Eukaryotic small subunit ribosomal RNA", at positions 1786 to 1831 of the family's 1831-position model.
AAGUCGUAACAAGGUUUCCGUAGGUGAACCUGCGGAAGGAUCAUUAACGAAGUAAAAAAAAAAGAGGAUGUCGCUGGUGCCCGUGCACUCCUCUUAGUCCCUUCUUACACCCAUCGUGCACCCUUUUGUAGGUUCGGACCGAACCUAUGUUGUUUUACACUCUACGCAUUUUGAACGUAUGUAAAAGCUUUGAAAAAUAACACAACUUUCAACAAUGGAUCUCUUGGCUCUC